This 1131-nucleotide long non-coding RNA is filed under the name Homo sapiens (human). RNAcentral's name for it is "HSALNT0336374". Lineage: Eukaryota; Metazoa; Chordata; Mammalia; Primates; Hominidae. The record is from RNAcentral.
AAAAGAACAUGUUCUGCUGGCACCUUGAUUUCUGACCCAGUGAGAGUGUGUUGGACUUAGGACCUUCAGAACUAGUGUUGACUGCAAGAUGAGGCAAAGGCAAAUAGGUGGAAUAACUGGAGAAUAACCCAGAAUGAGACACAGAAAGAGGAUUUUGAAAGGAUUUCCUUGCCUAUUAUCUGCUUUCUGAGAGAGCCACACAAAACAGGGGAAAAAACUGGAGAAUAAUGGUUGUGUCAUCAUGACAAACAACUGACAUAGUUGAGGCCAGUCGAAGGCCCAGAGCAACCCUGGUCCUGUAGUCAGAGACGACUUAUGAAAAUAAAUGAAUCUGGCUCAUUGACUUGAGUUCUUGUACCCAAACUGGAAAGGUGUGGUACCUGACACAGGAACAAAGUCUGUCUGAAAUCAGCUGUCCGGGAUGUCAUUUUCUCUAGUGCAGAGACUCGAUUGCCUAAAUUGGUAGCAGAGGUGGAUGUUUCCUAACAUGAUCUUCCUUGGCCAACAGUGACUGACAUCUGAGAUUCAGAGCCAGGGUUGAGUCCUCCUCACAGGGCGAGUUCUCUGACAAGGAAGUUUUGCAACCUAAUUUACAGCUGGAGCCAAGCUUGUCAGUGAGUGCCAGAGGGAAACUGUCGCAAUCGGCAGGCAAAGUAUAUUCAUUUAACAAGGGGAGUCUCUGAGGAGCUAUCAAAAACUGCUUGCCAUCUUUCCAAAUCAUCUCUGUCUGCAGUGACCAUGUCUUAAUCCUGAAGGAAAACAAGGUGGAAAUUGAUUUUUACUUCUCUGCAGCUAAGUAUGUGGCAGUCUUGGCCACAUGGUGACUCAGCAGAGGAGCCUAUGUACUGGCUGUCCUGAUGCUCUUCCUGAUUCAACUGAUUCUCUACACUUGAUCUUAGCCAAAAGGCCGAGAAGCAAUGAUUCAACUGAUUCUCAAAAGGACACCGCUGCAGGAAUAAACCCACUUCUAAAUAUGGAGCUCACAUGAAAUCAUGUUGAACAUAGCAGAGCGGGAAGAUGGAAGGAAUCCGAGAUCUAUGUUUGAUGUUAAGCGAUGAUGUUAAAAACUUAAAAAACUCCAGAACUCUCUUACCCCUGGGCUUGUUAUAAUAAAAAGAUAAUAAUCCUCUU